CCGCUGUUUCAGGGCGGGGUGAAAUUCCCCACUGGCGGUCAUUCGGCGCAGACAACAGCCUGCGAUGCGCACUCUGCGCAUGAACCGAUAAGCCCGCGAGCCCUGCCGCGUUGGUUCGCGGUGGGGUUGAUUCGGUGAAAAUCCGAAGCCAACGGUUAAAGUCCGGAUGAAAGAGGCAGGUG
Regulatory RNA element from Cryptobacterium curtum DSM 15641, 182 nucleotides. It matches the Rfam family "FMN riboswitch aptamer (RFN element)". Rfam says of the family: The RFN element is a highly conserved domain that is found frequently in the 5'-untranslated regions of prokaryotic mRNAs that encode for flavin mononucleotide (FMN) biosynthesis and transport proteins. This element is a metabolite-dependent riboswitch that directly binds FMN in the absence of proteins. In Bacillus subtilis, the riboswitch most likely controls gene expression by causing premature transcription termination within the 5' untranslated region of the ribDEAHT operon and precluding access to the ribosome-binding site of ypaA mRNA. The record is from Rfam. Lineage: Bacteria; Bacillati; Actinomycetota; Coriobacteriia; Eggerthellales; Eggerthellaceae.